This 634-nucleotide ribosomal RNA is filed under the name uncultured bacterium. RNAcentral's name for it is "bacterial SSU rRNA". The stretch from base 1 to 544 matches the Rfam family "Bacterial small subunit ribosomal RNA", at positions 338 to 873 of the family's 1533-position model. The record is from RNAcentral.
CCUACGGGAGGCAGCAGUGGGGAAUUUUGGACAAUGGGGGCAACCCUGAUCCAGCCAUUCCGCGUGAGUGAAGAAGGCCUUCGGGUUGUAAAGCUCUUUUGUCGGGGACGAAACGGUUACGAUUAAUACUCGUGACAACUGACGGUACCCGAAGAAUAAGCACCGGCUAACUACGUGCCAGCAGCCGCGGUAAUACGUAGGGUGCGAGCGUUAAUCGGAAUUACUGGGCGUAAAGCGUGCGCAGGCGGUUUUGUAAGCCAGAUGUGAAAUCCCCGGGCUUAACCUGGGAAUGGCAUUUGGGACUGCAAGGCUAGAGUAUGGCAGAGGAGACUAGAAUUUCUGGUGUAGCAGUGAAAUGCGUAGAUAUCAGAAGGAAUACCGAUGGCGAAGGCAGGUCUCUGGGUCAAUACUGACGCUCAUGCACGAAAGCGUGGGGAGCAAACAGGAUUAGAUACCCUGGUAGUCCACGCCCUAAACGAUGUCAACUGGUUNUUGGGAGAUUUAUUCUCUUAGUAACGAAGCUAACGCGUGAAGUUGACCCGCCGCGGGAGGUACGGUCGCGAAGAAGUUAAAACUUAACAAAGAAAGUUAGUACGGCGUGAGACGUGCCGACGGACGACGACGAGGGAGGAGG